Molecule: ribosomal RNA, 471 nt
Filed under: uncultured organism
Description: partial 16S ribosomal RNA
Rfam family: Bacterial small subunit ribosomal RNA
Source: RNAcentral
CACUCCUACGGGAGGCAGCAGUGGGGAAUAUCGCACAAUGGGCGCAAGCCUGAUGCAGCCAUGCCGCGUGUAUGAAGAAGGCCUUCGGGUUGUAAAGUACUUUCAGCGGGGAGGAAGGCGAUAAGGUUAAUAACCUUGUCGAUUGACGUUACCCGCAGAAGAAGCACCGGCUAACUCCGUGCCAGCAGCCGCGGUAAUACGGAGGGUGCAAGCGUUAAUCGGAAUUACUGGGCGUAAAGCGCACGCAGGCGGUCUGUCAAGUCGGAUGUGAAAUCCCCGGGCUCAACCUGGGAACUGCAUUCGAAACUGGCAGGCUAGAGUCUUGUAGAGGGGGGUAGAAUUCCAGGUGUAGCGGUGAAAUGCGUAGAGAUCUGGAGGAAUACCGGUGGCGAAGGCGGCCCCCUGGACAAAGUCUGACGCUCAGGUGCGAAAGCGUGGGGAGCAAACAGGAUUAGAAACCCUUGUAGUCCC